Molecule: ribosomal RNA, 253 nt
Filed under: uncultured bacterium
Lineage: Bacteria
Description: partial 16S ribosomal RNA
Rfam family: Bacterial small subunit ribosomal RNA
Source: RNAcentral
UACGAAGGGGGCUAGCGUUGCUCGGAAUUACUGGGCGUAAAGGGCGCGUAGGCGGAUAUUUAAGUUAGAGGUGAAAGCCCAGGGCUCAACCCUGGAAUAGCCUUUAAUACUGGAUAUCUUGAGUUCGGGAGAGGUGAGUGGAACUGCGAGUGUAGAGGUGAAAUUCGUAGAUAUUCGCAAGAACACCAGUGGCGAAGGCGGCUCACUGGCCCGGUACUGACGCUGAGGUGCGAAAGCGUGGGGAGCAAACAGG